RNAcentral lists this ribosomal RNA (493 nucleotides) under uncultured bacterium. Its description in RNAcentral is "bacterial SSU rRNA". It matches the Rfam family "Bacterial small subunit ribosomal RNA", at positions 37 to 518 of the family's 1533-position model. The record is from RNAcentral.
UGGCGGCGUGCCUAACACAUGCAAGUCGAGCGGGGACAUGCGACGGAUAGGAAGAUUCGGUUGGACUUGAAGACGCAUUGUCUAGCGGCGGACGGGUGAGUAACGCGUGAGCAACCUGUCCCUUACAGGGGGAUAACACAGCGAAAGUUGUACUAAUACCGCAUGAGACCACGGGAGGCAUCCUUCAGGGGUCAAAGGAGCAAUCCGGUAAGGGGUGGGCUCGCGUCCGAUUAGAUAGUCGGUGAGGUAACGGCCCACCAAGUCGACGAUCGGUAGCCGACCUGAGAGGGUGAUCGGCCACAUUGGGACUGAGACACGGCCCAAACUCCUACGGGAGGCAGCAGUGGGGAAUAUUGGGCAAAUGGGGGAAACCCUGACCCAGCAACGCCGCGUGAGGGAAGAAGGUUUUCGGAUCGUAAACCUCUGUCCUUGGUGAAGAGGAAGGGACGGUAGCCAAGGAGGAAGCCCCGGCUAACUACGUGCCAGCCGCAGC